Long non-coding RNA from Homo sapiens (human), 289 nucleotides. RefSeq lists it as uncharacterized. The record is from RefSeq and is a predicted model, not a curated record. The transcript is spliced from 3 exons. Lineage: Eukaryota; Metazoa; Chordata; Mammalia; Primates; Hominidae.
GUUUAACAUUUUUUGUUGUUUUUUUCCUCCUGCUUCUAGAGCGGUAGAAAGCAGUCUUUAGCCUGAGACCCAUCCCUAGUAAUUAAAGCCUCAUCAUCAGGCCCCAUAGAAGAUGCCAAUCAAAAUAAACUGCAUUCCUGAGACACAGGCCAGAAAUUAAAGCUAUUCAACUCCUCAACGCCAAGGGACUACUGUGGAACAGAUCCUGAAUUCCAGCUGAAGAGUUGACAUCAACCAGUUUGAAGCCUCCCUUCCCCCCGAAGAGGAACAAAAUCAGCAUGAGAAUACU